Molecule: ribosomal RNA, 1264 nt
Filed under: uncultured prokaryote
Description: partial 16S ribosomal RNA
Rfam family: Bacterial small subunit ribosomal RNA
Source: RNAcentral
AGAGUUUGAUCCUGGCUCAGGAUGAACGCUAGCGGCAGGCUUAACACAUGCAAGUCGAGGGGUAACAGAGGAAAGCUUGCUUUCUUGCUGACGACCGGCGCACGGGUGAGUAACGCGUAUACAAUCUACCUUAUACUAGGGGAUAGCCUUUAGAAAUGAAGAUUAAUACCCUAUAGUCUAUUAAUAUAGCAUUAUAUAAAAAUAGUAAAGGUUACGGUAUAAGAUGAGUAUGCGUCCUAUUAGUUUGUUGGUAAGGUAACGGCUUACCAAGACAGCGAUAGGUAGGGGCCCUGAGAGGGGGAUCCCCCACACUGGUACUGAGACACGGACCAGACUCCUACGGGAGGCAGCAGUGAGGAAUAUUGGACAAUGGAGGCAACUCUGAUCCAGCCAUGCCGCGUGCAGGAAGACUGCCCUAUGGGUUGUAAACUGCUUUUAUACAGGAAGAAACACUCCCUCGUGAGGGAGCUUGACGGUACUGUAAGAAUAAGGAUCGGCUAACUCCGUGCCAGCAGCCGCGGUAAUACGGAGGAUCCAAGCGUUAUCCGGAAUCAUUGGGUUUAAAGGGUCCGUAGGUGGAUAAUUUAGUCAGAGGUGAAAUCCUGCAGCUUAACUGUAGAAUUGCCUUUGAUACUGGUUAUCUUGAGUUAUUAUGAAGUAGUUAGAAUAUGUAGUGUAGCGGUGAAAUGCAUAGAUAUUACAUAGAAUACCAAUUGCGAAGGCAGAUUACUAAUAAUAUACUGACACUGAGGGACGAAAGCGUGGGGAGCGAACAGGAUUAGAUACCCUGGUAGUCCACGCCGUAAACGAUGGAUACUAGCUGUUCGCGGAUUUAUCUGAGUGGCUAAGCGAAAGUGAUAAGUAUCCCACCUGGGGAGUACGUUCGCAAGAAUGAAACUCAAAGGAAUUGACGGGGGCCCGCACAAGCGGUGGAGCAUGUGGUUUAAUUCGAUGAUACGCGAGGAACCUUACCAGGGCUUAAAUGUAUUGUGACAGGGAUGGAAACAUCUUUUUCUUCGGACACAUUACAAGGUGCUGCAUGGUUGUCGUCAGCUCGUGCCGUGAGGUGUCAGGUUAAGUCCUAUAACGAGCGCAACCCCUGUUGUUAGUUGCCAGCGAGUCAUGUCGGGGACUCUAACAAGACUGCCGGUGCAAACCGUGAGGAAGGUGGGGAUGACGUCAAAUCAUCACGGCCCUUACGUCCUGGGCCACACACGUGCUACAAUGGCCGGUACAGAGAGCAGCCACUAGGCGAGGUGGAGCG